Spea bombifrons (plains spadefoot toad) is the source of this 146-nucleotide long non-coding RNA. RefSeq lists it as uncharacterized. NCBI's taxonomy places the organism in Eukaryota, Metazoa, Chordata, Amphibia, Anura, Pelobatidae. The transcript is spliced from 2 exons. The record is from RefSeq and is a predicted model, not a curated record.
UGACAGCUGUCACAGAGAGAUGGUUCAUCCGAGUAAUUACAUGCUUUUCAUUUCGCAAUUUUAUUUUGUUGUGAAUUUUGGACAGGCUGGACCAUAUUUUUUCUCAAUGAAAUACUGCAUUGAUGAAAUGGCCCACUGCACAAAAA